UUGCUGACGAGUGGCGGACGGGUGAGUAAUGCUUGGGAAUCUGGCUUAUGGAGGGGGAUAACUACGGGAAACUGUAGCUAAUACCGCGUAGUAUCGGAAGAUGAAAGUGUGGGACCUUCGGGCCACAUGCCAUAGGAUGAGCCCAAGUGGGAUUAGGUAGUUGGUUAGGUAAAGGCUGACCAAGCCGACGAUCUCUAGCUGGUCUGAGAGGAUGACCAGCCACACUGGAACUGAGACACGGUCCAGACUCC
RNAcentral lists this ribosomal RNA (251 nucleotides) under uncultured Haemophilus sp. Its description in RNAcentral is "partial 16S ribosomal RNA". It matches the Rfam family "Bacterial small subunit ribosomal RNA", at positions 85 to 339 of the family's 1533-position model. Lineage: Bacteria; Pseudomonadati; Pseudomonadota; Gammaproteobacteria; Pasteurellales; Pasteurellaceae. The record is from RNAcentral.